RNAcentral lists this ribosomal RNA (253 nucleotides) under uncultured bacterium. Its description in RNAcentral is "partial 16S ribosomal RNA". It matches the Rfam family "Archaeal small subunit ribosomal RNA", at positions 474 to 727 of the family's 1478-position model. The record is from RNAcentral.
UACCCGCAGCACAAGUGGUGGUCAUUAUUAUUGGGCCUAAAGCGUCCGUAGCUGGCGUGUUAGAUGCCUGGGUAAAUCGAUGCGCUCAACGUAUCGAAUUCCGGGUAGACCGGCAGGCUUGGGACCGGGAGAGGCGUGAGCUACUCGGGGGGUAGGGGUAAAAUCCUGUAAUCCUCCGGGGAGGACCAGUGGCGAAGGCGGCUUGCCAGAACACACUCGACGGUGAGGGAUGAAAGCUGGGGGAGCAAACCGG